GCCGAGUGGCUGCAAUUUCAGCGGCCGGCUCAGUAGGAGGAGCAGGAGGGGAAAGAGGAGGAUCCAGAGUCAGUCAGUCAGCCUGCCAGCGGGAGGUGGGGAAAGCGGGAGGAGGAGGAGGAGGAUUAAAGAUGGCCACCAACAGCUGCGGGAAACGGCAACAACCCCUCACUUUCCGGGAUGGUCCCUGCGGGUUGGCCCGGCCUUAAUGGAGAAGAGAGGCCCGAGGAGCGCCGAGGCUGAGGCGGCGGCGGCGGGGACCCUGCGAGAAGGAAGACGCGAAGGAGCAAGGACCAAGGCAGGAGAAGGGAAAGGCGGCAGCGUCGCUGCCCUGGCUGCCUAGCGCCGCUGCCCGCCCCGGCGGACCAUACCCGCACCUCGCGGCCCCAGAAUCGAGCCGGCCCGUGGCCGG
Molecule: long non-coding RNA, 412 nt
Filed under: Marmota monax (woodchuck)
Lineage: Eukaryota; Metazoa; Chordata; Mammalia; Rodentia; Sciuridae
Source: RNAcentral